GACGAACGCUGGCGGCGUGCUUAACACAUGCAAGUCGAACGGAAAGGCCCUGCUUUUGUGGGGUGCUCGAGUGGCGAACGGGUGAGUAACACGUGAGUAACCUGCCCUUGACUUUGGGAUAACUUCAGGAAACUGGGGCUAAUACCGGAUAGGAGCUCCUGCUGCAUGGUGGGGGUUGGAAAGUUUCGGCGGUUGGGGAUGGACUCGCGGCUUAUCAGCUUGUUGGUGGGGUAGUGGCUUACCAAGGCUUUGACGGGUAGCCGGCCUGAGAGGGUGACCGGCCACAUUGGGACUGAGAUACGGCCCAGACUCCUACGGGAGGCAGCAGUGGGGAAUAUUGCACAAUGGGCGGAAGCCUGAUGCAGCAACGCCGCGUGCGGGAUGACGGCCUUCGGGUUGUAAACCGCUUUCGCCUGUGACGAAGUGUGAGUGACGGUAAUGGGUAAAGAAGCACCGGCUAACUACGU
RNAcentral lists this ribosomal RNA (467 nucleotides) under uncultured bacterium. Its description in RNAcentral is "partial 16S ribosomal RNA". It matches the Rfam family "Bacterial small subunit ribosomal RNA", at positions 28 to 506 of the family's 1533-position model. The record is from RNAcentral.